Long non-coding RNA from Mauremys mutica (yellowpond turtle), 2424 nucleotides. RefSeq lists it as uncharacterized. The transcript is spliced from 6 exons. Lineage: Eukaryota; Metazoa; Chordata; Testudines; Geoemydidae. The record is from RefSeq and is a predicted model, not a curated record.
UUUCCAAGUGAAAUUUAUGCCAAUUACUCCUAUUGCGCUCUUUUUGGUUUUCUUCUUUCCCAGGCAGUGAGGUUUCUGGGGGACAUUAACUGCAAUGGAUUGUGUCUCCAUUGCAGAUACAGUCAUCUUCCAGGAGGAGUCUCUGUGCUGUUGUAUGAGUCAAAAUUGAAUCUGGAUCUGAACUUAAUGAUGUGGAAAAGAGGAUAGAAGCAGAUCUGUCAGAAAGGUGUUUGAGAACUGCCACAGUGUUAAAUGCAGGAUGGCAGUGAUUAGGGUUUUAUUGUCAGGAUUAGUUUCCCUUUGUUAUAGACAAUCCUGAGAUACAAGAUCCUUGUGCCCCAAAAGACAUCUGGGUUCAAUCUCUCUCUGCAGACAGUGAAUGCUUCCUGCACAGCAGCCUUGCAGCAAAGUUUGAUCUGCUCCUUUCAGACAGGUCACUUCCCACCGUUGCCUCAGCUCCCUGAAUGACAAGAACCAGCCAACAGGGAAACAGGGGAGAGGAGGGUUUAAAACAGGAUGACUGAUUAUAAAUAUUGUUACAAAUCUGGAGCACCCAAGGACUUCCGUGUUGUCACUCUGCUGAACUGCAUGGCCCCUCAGGGCUGCACUGUGACUGUGUGCAUAGGACUUGGCUUCUCCUGCCUCAAAAACUUGGGCCUCAAUGACUGGAGCAAAAGGGGAUUCUCCACUAUAUGUUAGCAGUAUAGAGCCUAUGAUACACAACUAAGCAUUUCUGAUUCAUCCAACAAUGCCCUGCAGUGCAAAUGUAUACUAAAUAGCUGGGUACAAUGUUAGUGCUGUUUUAUAAUGGGGAUGAUUCACCUUUACUCCCUGCACCCCUUUAGCCCUCCCUGGGCUCAGUCGUUAAGUAGUCCCAGCCCUGGUAUGGGCCAUAUCCCCAGGGCUUCCUCCCUAGAGACACAACCUUCCUAAGGCCAGCUCAGUCCCAGCAUCCAGCCCAGAGCUCCUUCUUUGCUCCCCUGGUCCCUACUAGCAAAUUGUCUUUGGCUCAGUCCUAGCAGCCAGCUAGGAUCCUCUCACCGCCCCAGUCCCUGCUGCCACUUAGCUGUCUGUGCGCCUGCUGCUCUUCAGCCAGGCACACAGUCCUUUCUUCUCCAGCUCCAAACAGGAACUAACUGCUGAGUUGUUCUGCAGCUCCUUUUAUAUGGCCCUCCUGGCCCCUGACUGGCUGUUCCAGCAGCUCCUCUGAUUGGUUGCUUCCGCACAACCACUCUAGGCUGCUUGGAGGAUCUCUCCACAGCUCCUUGCUUGGGGUGGGUGUGGCAAACCCUGAGGCCUCCAAGCAGUUGCCCUUUGGGCCUAGUCCACCCCAUCACAAGCCCCCAGGUAACAAAGUCCAGUAAUUUUGGAUCACGUCCCUGUACUAUGGUCCUAAUGAAACACUUAGAACAUUAAGUUCCAUGCAGGGUGAGGGAGCUACUGUGCCUCAUGGCAACACCCUUUCUGUCUCUAGGUGUUUAUAGAGCACCAGCACCAUAGAAACCAGGCACUGUAUUAAUAAGCCUUCUCUCAUGCCCUCUCCCUCCAGGGGACCCUUCGCUACCCUCUCUCUCCUCGAUGUCAUUAAGUUAUCACAGUGCAACAGGUAAAUCAGAAAGGUCUUCACAGGCUAUUCGUGCUCUGGAGCAGAACGUUUCCUCUUCAUUUGUGGUCCAGACUGAUCCAGUCUCUCUCAUUUCAGUUAUGCCAGGACAUGCAAUAGCUCCAGGGUGGCCAUUGUUGAUGGCAGGAUGCUCUCAGGCUUCAUCUCUUCAUAUCAUCCUGGUAGAAGGUCUCUCAGAAGAAUAUCAGUUUCUUAGCUGAGCAAGAACUUCCUGUGUCCAAUAUCAAACUGGCUUCAGUGCUGAUCUACGGUUAAUAUGAAAGAGCUGCAGCUGUAGGGACAGAAACAAAUUCUGCAUCUUUCCACUGAGGAGGCAAGAGGUCCAUGUACUUGUAUCAUGAAUGGAAGAUCACAGCCUAGGUUGGUUGUAAUACACUGGAAGGAUUUGGGGCAAACACGUCUUGCUGAGUGCAGCACAGCCUGUGGUCAGACAUCUCACCCGGAAAGCAGCUGCAAGUCUGCAGCGAUUAGAGUAACGUACUCUCCCUUUCCAUUGCUGUGACAGAGUGCUGAGGCCUGACAGGACAAAUAUGGAAUGCGAACUGAGGAAAGAAGCCGGACAGCUUAUUUCCCUUUGACUAUAGACUGUUAGUAAAUGUUACACUUACAAUCUGGCUGUCUGCAUGCUGUGACUGUGCAGUAGUUAACUUGGCUAGAUUCAACCCUAGUGUGUAUAUCCCCUCCAUGAACUCCCUCUAGAUCUAUAAGACCACACAUGACCCUGGUUCCACACUCAGACUGAGAACUGUAGUUGGUCAAAGCAUGUAACAUUCCCCAUAAUAAACUUCUCAAAUUCCACA